AUUCUAUGAUGAGGCCACUUCUUUAAUAAUUCUUUGUACCUUUCCCAUGCCUCAACAAUGAGUCAUCAUCCAUUUGUUGGAAAGCAGUGAUCUCGUUCCUCAACUU
Gossypium hirsutum (cotton) is the source of this 106-nucleotide non-coding RNA. Lineage: Eukaryota; Viridiplantae; Streptophyta; Magnoliopsida; Malvales; Malvaceae. The record is from Rfam.